This 30-nucleotide non-coding RNA is filed under the name Rattus norvegicus (Norway rat). The record is from RNAcentral. Lineage: Eukaryota; Metazoa; Chordata; Mammalia; Rodentia; Muridae.
UGUUGAAACUAUAAAUUUAGGUACCCAGCU